This 484-nucleotide ribosomal RNA is filed under the name uncultured bacterium. RNAcentral's name for it is "partial 16S ribosomal RNA". It matches the Rfam family "Bacterial small subunit ribosomal RNA", at positions 30 to 507 of the family's 1533-position model. The record is from RNAcentral.
AUUGAACGCUGGCGGCAGGCCUAACACAUGCAAGUCGAGCGGAUGAAGGGAGCUUGCUCCUGGAUGCAGCGGCGGACGGGUGGGAAAUGCCUAGGAAUCUGCCUUGUAGUGGGGGAUAACGUCCGGAAACGGGCGCUAAUACCGCAUACGUCCUGAGGUAGAAAGUGGGGGAGCUUCGGACCUCACGCUAUCAGAUGAGCCUAGGUCGGAUUAGCUAGUUGGUGGGGUAAAGGCCUACCAAGGCGACGAUCCGUAACUGGUCUGAGAGGAUGAUCAGUCACACUGGAACUGAGACACGGUCCAGACUCCUACGGGAGGCAGCAGUGGGGAAUAUUGGACAAUGGGCGAAAGCCUGAUCCAGCCAUGCCGCGUGUGUGAAGAAGGUCUUCGGAUUGUAAAGCACUUUAAGUUGGGAGGAAGGGCAGUAAGUUAAUACCUUGCUGUUUUGACGUUACCAACAGAAUAAGCACCGGCUAACUUCGUG